ACCUGGUUGAUCCUGCCAGUUGUCAUAUGCUUGUCUCAAAGAUAUAAGCCAUGCAAGUGCAAGUAUAAACUCGUUUUUGUACAGUGAGACUGCGAAUGGCUCAUUAAAUCAGUUAUAAUUUAUUCGGUGGUGAGGUCUUCGGACACUAGAUGGAUAACCGUGGAAAAUCUAGAGCUAAUACAUGCAGAAAGCGGCGUUUGGCCGUGCGUAUAUUAGAUACCAAGCUGUUCCAUUUUUGUGGACGGUGAGUCAUAAUAUCCAAGCGGAUCGCAUGGGGCAACCCGGCGACGAACCGAUCAAAUUUCUGCCCUAUCAACUUUGGACGGUAGCGUAGUGGGCUACGGUGGUUAUGACGGGUAACGAACCAUGGGUGUGGGAUUUCGGAGAGGGAGCCUGAGAAACGGCUACCACUUCCAAGGAAGGCAGCAGGCGCGCAAAUUACCCAAUUCACAAAGUGAGAGGUAGUGACAAUAAAUAACAAUGGUCGAACCGCAAGGUUGACCAAUUGGAAUGAGAACAAUUUAAAACGCUUAUCAAGAAUCGAUUGGAGGGCAAGUCUGGUGCCAGCAGCCGCGGUAAUUCCAGCUCCAGUAGCGUAUACGGUCAUUGUUGCAGUUAAAAAGCUCGUAGUUGGAUUCUAUUUUAUAAAUUUUAGAAAAAAAUUAUUUUUUACAAAUAGUUUUGUAUUUUUUUUUUUAUAAAAUAAUAUAUUUUAAGGAGGUGAUAUAAUAAAUUUUAUUUUAUUAUAAUGGAACGAAAGUAAAGUCUCUUUUUUUUAAUUUUAAAAAAGGGGGUCACCCCUUAUAUUUUACUUUGAGUAAAUUAGAGUGUUUAAAGCAAGUUUUAUUUUUUUAAAGAUAUUUCGCUUGAAUAGAUUAGCAUGGGAUAAUGAAAUAGGACUUUCAGUUGAAUUGUUGGAACAGUUUGUCAACUGAUAGUAAUGAUUAAUAGGAGCGGUUGGGGGUAUUCGUAUUGAAUUGUCAGAGGUGAAAUUCAUGGAUUUGUUCAAGACGAACAUCAGCGAAAGCAUUUACCAAGGACGCUUCCGUUAAUCAAGAACGAAAGUUAAGGGAUCGAAGAUGAUCAGAUACCGUCGUAGUCUUAACCAUAAACUAUGCCGACCAAGGAUGGCGGGUCGUUGCAUGGAUGACUCUCGCCGAACUUUUGAGGGAAACCAUUGAGUGUUUAGGUUCUGGGGGGAGUACGGUCGCAAGGCUGAAACUUAAAGGAAUUGACGGAAGGGCACCACCAGGUGUGGAACCUGCGGCUUAAUUCGACUCAACACGGGGAAACUUACCAGGCCCGGACACAGGAAGGAUUGACAGAUUGAUAGCUCUUUCUUGAUUCUGUGGUUGGUGGUGCAUGGCCGUUCUUAGUUGGUGGAGUGAUUUGUCUGGUUAAUUCCGUUAACGAACGAGACCUUAGCUUAUUAAUUAGAUACUUUUAUAUAUAUUUUUUUUAUGUAUAGAUAGUACCAAAGUUUUUUUUGGAUUAUAAUUUUAUAUUAUAAUGCUUCUUAGAAGGACUUUUAGCAUCCAGUUAAAGGAAGUGUAAGGCAAUAACAGGUCUGUGAUGCCCUUUAGAUGUUCUGGGCUGCACGCGCGUUACAAUGAAUAGUUCAACAAGUAUUCAUUUAUACUAUAUUUUAUGGUGUAAAUAUCCUGGUUUGAAGAAAUUGGGUAAACUUUUGAAAGCUAUUCGUGCUGGGGAUUGGCGAUUGUAAUUGUUCGCCAUGAACGAGGAAUACCUAGUAAGUGCAAGUCAUCAACUUGCGCUGAUUACGUCCCUGUCCUUUGUACACACCGCCCGUCGCUCCUACCGAUGAAUGGUCCGGUGAAAUCUCGGGAUUUUAAACAAUAAAUUUAUUUGUUGUGUAAAAAAACUUGCUUAAACCUUGCCAUUUAGAGGAAGGAGAAGUCGUAACAAGGUAUCCGUAGGUGAACCAGCGGAAG
RNAcentral lists this ribosomal RNA (1952 nucleotides) under Vexillifera tasmaniana. RNAcentral's name for it is "SSU rRNA". It matches the Rfam family "Eukaryotic small subunit ribosomal RNA". Lineage: Eukaryota; Discosea; Flabellinia; Dactylopodida; Vexilliferidae. The record is from RNAcentral.